Molecule: non-coding RNA, 124 nt
Organism: Triticum aestivum (bread wheat)
Lineage: Eukaryota; Viridiplantae; Streptophyta; Magnoliopsida; Poales; Poaceae
Source: Rfam
UAUCUACUCCCUCGUCCGAAAAAACUUGUCCCAAAUUGUCCUUCAAAUGUUUGUAUCUAGCACUAAUUUGAUGCUAGAUACAUCUAUUUGAGGGACGAGCUUUUUCGGAGGGAGGAAGUACAUU